GUAUCUAUUGAUAGGCAUAGAGAGAUCAUUCUAAGAUUGUAACACAAAAAUAUGUACAACCCUGUGCUCCUUUAGACUGUUGAUAUUCUGGAAACCCAUAAGAGAUUUCUAAAGAGUGUAUUUCCCAAUGAAAUUUUAUAUUGAAAGAAGCUACGUAAUCAACAUAAGAUUGAAGACUUUCGCUUGUAUCAACAAUGGAACAUAUAAUCUAUUUGGCUAUAUAACGAGGAACUCAGCCAGAACUCAGCUCUAUUUCGAAAAUUUUGUGUUCAUUUCUCAGACUGGGAAAACUAUUAGCUUCAAAACAAAACCGCUCAAAAUGCAAUAGAACCAGUUCCAUAUAAAAAGACUCGAUCUACCAAGCUCCUAGUUGUGAUGGAUAUAUAAGUAAACCAUUGGUCCUAUUUCCGAGUAGACUAGUUCCAAGACUGUUACAUGUUUAGUUUAACAACCGCAUACAUGAAUUACUUAGAUUAUUUCCAUUUUUCCUUAGUUGUAUAACAGUUCCGAUAAGUGUCUAGCCCAAACAUUGAUCAAAACUAUCUGUGUUCGCUGUAGCUAGCCUACAUUCUUAUCAAUCAAUAUAGAACUACUAAUAUGCAAGUUUAUAGUCGUAAGACUAACAAUUA
Molecule: long non-coding RNA, 629 nt
Organism: Drosophila mojavensis
Lineage: Eukaryota; Metazoa; Arthropoda; Insecta; Diptera; Drosophilidae
Exons: 2
Source: RefSeq, a predicted model, not a curated record